Molecule: ribosomal RNA, 216 nt
Filed under: uncultured fungus
Lineage: Eukaryota; Fungi
Description: partial small subunit ribosomal RNA
Rfam family: Eukaryotic small subunit ribosomal RNA
Source: RNAcentral
AGUCGGAAAUUGUUGUCCGUUGUAAUGACGAGUACGAUGAUUUUCUGGCUCUUUUUUUGGGGGAGAUGCAUGUUCUUAAUUGAGUGUGUAAGGAACCCAAACGAUUACCUUGAAAAAAUUAGAGUGUUCAAAGCAGGCUUUAAAGCUUGAAUAGAUUAGCAUGGAAUAAUGAAAUAAGACUUUGAUCUUAUUUUGUUGGUUUCUAAGAUCACAGUA